AAAAAGAAAAGCUAAUUAAGCUACUUGGUUCAUACCCUAUUUAUAGAAGUCAACCCCUCUUCUUUUUA
This 68-nucleotide transfer RNA is filed under the name Pulex irritans. RNAcentral's name for it is "tRNA-Met". The record is from RNAcentral. Lineage: Eukaryota; Metazoa; Arthropoda; Insecta; Siphonaptera; Pulicidae.